ACGGGAGGCAGCAGUGGGGAAUAUUGCACAAUGGGGGAAACCCUGAUGCAGCAACGCCGCGUGAAGGAAGACGGUUUUCGGAUUGUAAACUUCUUUUCUUAGCGAAGAACAAAUGACGGUAACUAAGGAAUAAGCAUCGGCUAACUACGUGCCAGCAGCCGCGGUAAUACGUAGGAUGCAAGCGUUAUCCGGAUUUACUGGGUGUAAAGGGAGCGCAGGCGGGACUUCAAGUUGGAUGUGAAAUGCCAAGGCUUAACCAUGGCCCUGCAUCCAAAACUGUAGUUCUUGAGUGGAGUAGAGGUAAGCGGAAUUCCGAGUGUAGCGGUGAAAUGCGUAGAUAUUCGGAGGAACACCAGUGGCGAAGGCGGCUUACUGGGCUCUAACUGACGCUGAGGCUCGAAAGUGUGGGGAGCAAACAGGAUUAGAUACCCUGGUA
Molecule: ribosomal RNA, 436 nt
Filed under: uncultured Oscillospiraceae bacterium
Lineage: Bacteria; Bacillati; Bacillota; Clostridia; Eubacteriales; Oscillospiraceae
Description: partial 16S ribosomal RNA
Rfam family: Bacterial small subunit ribosomal RNA
Source: RNAcentral